GGGCGAUUAGCUCAGCCGGUUCAGAGCACCUGCCUUACAAGCAGGGGGUCGUAGGUUCGAAUCCUACAUCGCCCACCA
RNAcentral lists this transfer RNA (78 nucleotides) under Lewinella sp. Its description in RNAcentral is "tRNA-Val". It matches the Rfam family "tRNA". From Rfam's summary of the family: Transfer RNA (tRNA) molecules are approximately 80 nucleotides in length. Their secondary structure includes four short double-helical elements and three loops (D, anti-codon, and T loops). Further hydrogen bonds mediate the characteristic L-shaped molecular structure. tRNAs have two regions of fundamental functional importance: the anti-codon, which is responsible for specific mRNA codon recognition, and the 3' end, to which the tRNAs corresponding amino acid is attached (by aminoacyl-tRNA synthetases). tRNAs cope with the degeneracy of the genetic code in two manners: having more than one tRNA (with a specific anti-codon) for a particular amino acid; and 'wobble' base-pairing, i.e. permitting non-standard base-pairing at the 3rd anti-codon position. Lineage: Bacteria; Pseudomonadati; Bacteroidota; Saprospiria; Saprospirales; Lewinellaceae. RNAcentral also lists the same sequence under 1 other name. The record is from RNAcentral.